Transfer RNA from Felis catus (domestic cat), 85 nucleotides. It matches the Rfam family "tRNA". Rfam says of the family: Transfer RNA (tRNA) molecules are approximately 80 nucleotides in length. Their secondary structure includes four short double-helical elements and three loops (D, anti-codon, and T loops). The record is from Rfam. Lineage: Eukaryota; Metazoa; Chordata; Mammalia; Carnivora; Felidae.
GCCUGGGUGGCUCAGUCGGUUGAGCGCCCGAUUUCAGCUCAGGUCAUGAUCUCGCGGUUUGUGGGUUUGAGCCCCACGUUGGGCU